Molecule: non-coding RNA, 854 nt
Filed under: Lepthoplosternum pectorale
Lineage: Eukaryota; Metazoa; Chordata; Actinopteri; Siluriformes; Callichthyidae
Description: partial 12S ribosomal RNA
Rfam family: Bacterial small subunit ribosomal RNA
Source: RNAcentral
AAAGGCUUGGUCCUGACUUUACUAUCAGCUUUAGCCCAGUUCACACAUGCAAGUAUCCGCAUUCCCGUGAGGAUGCCCCAAACCUCCGUCCGAGGACAAGGAGCAGGUAUCAGGCACGACAAUUCAGCCCAAGACACCUUGCUAUGCCACACCCCCAAGGGACUAUCAGCAGUUGUAAACAUUAGGCCAUUAGUGAAAACUAGACCUAGCUAUGGUUAAAAGAGUCGGUAAAAUUCGUGCCAGCUACCGCGGUUAUACGAAAGACUCUAGUUGAUAGAUACCGGCACAAAGAGUGGUUAAGAAGUUAAAUAAAAAUAGGAUUAAAGAUCUUCCAAGCUGUUAUACGCCGUUGAAAACACGAAACCCACACUACGAAAGUGAUCCUACCAUAAUUAUCUGAUUCCACGAAAGUUGAGAAACAAACUGGGAUUAGAGACCCCACUAUGCUCAACCGUAAACUCAGAUGUGAGUUACACCUCAUCCGCCUGGGUAUUACGAGCACAGCUUAAAACCCAAAGGACUUGGCGGUGCUUCAGAUCCCCCUAGAGGAGCCUGUUCUAGAACCGAUACCCCCCGUUAAACCUCUCCACCUCUUGUCAGUACCGUCUAUAUACCGCCGUCGUCAGCUCACCCUGCAAGGGAACAAAAGAAAGCAAAAUGGAUGCUCUCCAAAACGUCAGGUCGAGGUGUAGUGUAUGAGGUGGCAAGAAAUGGGCUACAUUUUCUAACCAUAGAAUAUACGAACAGCAUUAAUGAAAUAUUAGGCUUAAAGGAGGAUUUAGUAGUAAAAAGAAAACAGAGAGUUCUUUUGAAAUAGGCUUUGAAGCGCGCACACACCGCCCGUCAAUCUCCCC